Molecule: ribosomal RNA, 774 nt
Filed under: Triticum aestivum (bread wheat)
Lineage: Eukaryota; Viridiplantae; Streptophyta; Magnoliopsida; Poales; Poaceae
Description: partial small subunit ribosomal RNA
Source: RNAcentral
AUGAUAAUUUACUUCAGUGGUACUAGAAGUGUACCUUUUUCAGCCGUGUACAUACCUGAAUACUUGCAUGAAUUACACGGGGUGCGGUGGAGAAGAAACGUAGAAAAAACUUACCGGAAGCAUGCACGUUGCACAGAGAAAAAGUUAGUUUUUAAAGUGCAUGAUAGAGAAGAGAGAGGGAGAGGGAGAGAGCGAGCACCACUCGUGGGGUUAAAACCCCAAGAACUGCAUUGGAGCAGCAGCACAAGGCGCAGAAGCUGCAGCAAGAAGAACAGCACCGAGAACAAGAAGUGCACUUCCCCUCCCUCUCUCUCGCUUCUACUCCCUAGUAGCACGAGCAGCCAGGAAGCUACAGGCAAGAAGCAGCAGCAGCAGCAGAGGCAGCUUGCUCGCCACCGGCGGCGGCGGGCGGAUCUGCCGUGGAGCCACGGCCGGGUCCUCCGGAGCCGGGAGCAGCCGUUCCGGAGCCCGUGGCGGCGAGAUCUGAGGCGCCGCUGCCUUCUCGCAAUCGGGAGGCGCGCUUCUUUGCCUAGCUCCCGCGGCCGCAAAGGCGGCGCAUUCCCGCCGCCGCCGCCGCCUGCUCCCGAAGGCCUCCCGGAGGCGGGGCUGGGGCGCUUGGAUCGAGAGGCUCGAAAAUUCGGAGUUCCCGGAUCGAAAAGGACCGCGCGUUCGGGCCGGGUGCGGCGGAGCGGAGGCAAGAGGUUUGGCUUGGCCGGUUUGGGGGAGGAGACAGCGAUGGUGAUGCUGUUUGGAAGCGCUCGUGAUUUGGUGUAG